AAGAAGUCAUUCAAAGAGUCGAAUAUUGACAUGGUUCUUCGAUCAAGCAAACAACUCCUACGAAGAAGUUAUCGGAAGUUAUUCAAANNNNNNNAAGAUGUAGGAAGUUAUUUUCUAUUUUCUAUAAAUAGUUGUAAUUUCUAUGUACAAAGGGUUGAAUCUUAUUUUCUAAAAACUCUGCAAUGCCCACGCCACGGAGCAAACGGGUUCAAGGAGUGCAU
Molecule: long non-coding RNA, 221 nt
Filed under: Trifolium pratense (red clover)
Lineage: Eukaryota; Viridiplantae; Streptophyta; Magnoliopsida; Fabales; Fabaceae
Description: long non-coding RNA (TPRA_LNC011506)
Source: RNAcentral